UACGUAGGGUGCGAGCGUUGUCCGGAAUUAUUGGGCGUAAAGAGCUCGUAGGCGGUCUGUCACGUCGGUCGUGAAAACUUGGGGCUUAACCCUGAGCUUGCGGUCGAUACGGGCAUGACUUGAGUUCGGCAGGGGAGACUGGAAUUCCUGGUGUAGCGGUGAAAUGCGCAGAUAUCAGGAGGAACACCGGUGGCGAAGGCGGGUCUCUGGGCCGCAACUGACGCUGAGGAACGAAAGCGUGGGUAGCGAACAGG
RNAcentral lists this ribosomal RNA (254 nucleotides) under uncultured bacterium. RNAcentral's name for it is "partial 16S ribosomal RNA". It matches the Rfam family "Bacterial small subunit ribosomal RNA", at positions 524 to 776 of the family's 1533-position model. The record is from RNAcentral.